Molecule: ribosomal RNA, 454 nt
Filed under: Theileria mutans
Lineage: Eukaryota; Apicomplexa; Aconoidasida; Piroplasmida; Theileriidae
Also listed under: 1 other name
Description: SSU rRNA
Rfam family: Eukaryotic small subunit ribosomal RNA
Source: RNAcentral
CGGGGCUCAACGCCUUGUAAUUGGAAUGAUGGGAACCUAAACCCCUUCCAGAGUAUCAAUUGGAGGGCAAGUCUGGUGCCAGCAGCCGCGGUAAUUCCAGCUCCAAUAGCGUAUAUUAAAAUUGUUGCAGUUAAAAAGCUCGUAGUUGAAUUUCUGCCGCAUCGCGGCGGCCCUCCCGGGCCCAGCGUUGCGGCUUAUUUCGGACUCGCUUGCGUCUCCGAAUGUUUACUUUGAGAAAAUUAGAGUGCUCAAAGCAGGCCCUUGCCUUGAAUACUUUAGCAUGGAAUAAUAAAGUAGGACUUUGGUUCUAUUUUGUUGGUUUAGCGCCAAAGUAAUGGUUAAUAGGAACAGUUGGGGGCAUUCGUAUUUAACUGUCAGAGGUGAAAUUCUUAGAUUUGUUAAAGACGAACCACUGCGAAAGCAUUUGCCAAGGAUGUUUUCAUUAAUCAAGAAC